This is a long non-coding RNA of Epinephelus fuscoguttatus (brown-marbled grouper), 376 nucleotides long. RefSeq lists it as uncharacterized. The record is from RefSeq and is a predicted model, not a curated record. NCBI's taxonomy places the organism in Eukaryota, Metazoa, Chordata, Actinopteri, Perciformes, Serranidae. The transcript is spliced from 3 exons.
GCAGCCAGCAGUGCUUGAGUCUUCAGUCAGAAGAUGAGGGCCAGCUUGGCACUUGUAGGGGUGUACAGCAGGAGCCUCCAGCUUCAGCUAUACACAUGGGUGUGUAAAAUCCUGAUGGUUCCAGAUGUUUCUCUUCAACUCAAAUAGGGAUACUGGUGAUGAGGGCCCUUCAUCUUCACCUGCACAUCAGGAUGUUUCAGCGAAGAGCAGCAGAUCCCACUCAGCCUCAUUUAAAGAUUUUCCCAAAAAUCAUCCAAUUAAUUCAUUGUGGUAUAAUCUGUAUCCAUGGCUUGAAUACCCACAAAUGAAAGAUUCAGCCUACUGCUAUGUAUGGUGACAUUUCUCCCUGCCUAAUGUGUCAGUAUCAGUUUUCACA